This 492-nucleotide ribosomal RNA is filed under the name uncultured bacterium. RNAcentral describes it as "partial 16S ribosomal RNA". It matches the Rfam family "Bacterial small subunit ribosomal RNA", at positions 29 to 507 of the family's 1533-position model. The record is from RNAcentral.
AGUGAACGCUGGCGGUAGGCCUAACACAUGCAAGUCGAACGGCAGCACAGUAAGAGCUUGCUCUUACGGGUGGCGAGUGGCGGACGGGUGAGGAAUACAUCGGAAUCUACUUUUUCGUGGGGGAUAACGUAGGGGAACUUACGCUAAUACCGCAUACGACCUACGGGUGAAAGCAUGGGAUCUUCGGACCUUGCGCGAGUGAAUGAGCCGAUGUCGGAAUAGCUAGUUGGCGGGGUAAAGGCCCACCAAGGCGACGAUCCGUAGCUGGUCUGAGAGGAUGAUCAGCCACACUGGAACUGAGACACGGUCCAGACUCCUACGGGAGGCAGCAGUGGGGAAUAUUGGACAAUGGGCGCAAGCCUGAUCCAGCCAUACCGCGUGGGUGAAGAAGGCCUUCGGGUUGUAAAGCCCUUUUGUUGGGAAAGAAAAGCAGCAGGUUAAUACCCCGCUGUUCUGACGGUACCCAAAGAAUAAGCACCGGCUAACUUCGUG